Molecule: ribosomal RNA, 497 nt
Filed under: uncultured bacterium
Lineage: Bacteria
Description: partial 16S ribosomal RNA
Rfam family: Bacterial small subunit ribosomal RNA
Source: RNAcentral
GAUGAACGCUGGCGGCGUGCCUAAUACAUGCAAGUCGAGCGAACAGAUGAGGAGCUUGCUCCUCUGACGUUAGCGGCGGACGGGUGAGUAACACGUGGAUAACCUACCUAUAAGACUGGGAUAACAUCGGGAAACCAGAGCUAAUACCGGAUAAUAUAUUGAACCGCAUUGUUCACUAGUGAAAUACGGUUUUUCUUUCACUUAUAGAUUGAUCCGGGCCGCAUUAACUAGUUGGUAAGGUAACGGCUUAACAAGGCAAGUAGGGGAAGACGACCCGAGAGCGAGAAUCGACAGCUUGUAAGUGAGGCUGGGCAGCGACACUUACACUGGGCCGCAGUCGAGACUCUUACGCGAUGGGGGAGAGCCGGACGGAGCAACACCGGGUGAGUGCUGAAGGUGUAAGGAUGGUAGAACUCUGUUAGUAGGAAAGAACAAAAGUGUAAGUAACCAUGCUCAUAUUGACGGUACCUAAUGAAAAAGCCCCGGCUAACUACGUG